CAAUAGCGUAUAUUUAAGUUGUUGCAGUUAAAAAGCUCGUAGUUGGAUUUCGGAUGGGAUUUGCCGGUCCGUCGUUACGAUGUGCACUGGCCAGUCCUAUCUUGUUGUCGGGGACUAGCUCCUUGGAUUCACUUCCUGGGACUAGGAGCUGACGAGGUUACUUUGAGUAAAUUAGAGUGUUCAAAGCAAGCCUACGCUCUGAAUACAUUAGCAUGGAAUAACACGAUAGGACUCUGGCUUAUCUUGUUGGUCUGUGAGACCAGAGUAAUGAUUAAGAGGGACAGUCGGGGACAAUCGUAUUUCAUUGUCAGAGGUGAAAUUCUUGGAUUUAUGAAAGACGAACUUCUGCGAAAGCAUUUGUCAAGGAUGUUUUCAUUAA
This 379-nucleotide ribosomal RNA is filed under the name uncultured eukaryote. Its description in RNAcentral is "partial 18S ribosomal RNA". It matches the Rfam family "Eukaryotic small subunit ribosomal RNA", at positions 592 to 976 of the family's 1831-position model. The record is from RNAcentral.